CAUUAAGAAGCUAUGUACCAGCACUAGCCUUUUAAGCUAGCGAAAGAGGACUAUUCCUCCUCCUUAAUGG
Molecule: transfer RNA, 70 nt
Filed under: Strix uralensis (Ural owl)
Lineage: Eukaryota; Metazoa; Chordata; Aves; Strigiformes; Strigidae
Description: tRNA-Lys
Source: RNAcentral